Molecule: long non-coding RNA, 790 nt
Filed under: Betta splendens (Siamese fighting fish)
Lineage: Eukaryota; Metazoa; Chordata; Actinopteri; Anabantiformes; Osphronemidae
Description: lncRNA (ENSBSLG00000024636.1)
Source: RNAcentral
GACUCAGUCCUCCAGGUAUCCUCCCAUUUAGAUGGGUUCUCCGCCAAAGUCGACAAUAGCUGAUCAAAACACUCAAGUGACGGACCUUCCUCCAGCUGUCAUUAACGCGAACAUCGUUUAAGCCAUAUCCGUCAACGUUGCGCACAUCGAAUUCCUCCAAUGCCGGUGCCAAAUCCUACUCAAAAUAUACCAACGCAAUAGUCAGGGGUUCUUUGAAGUUGCUCGCCAGUUGCUCUGUCGGCGAUGCUCUUCCUCCUGAUCAGCUCGAUGGGAGCGGGGCGCGCGCCUGCAGGCGGCCAGGUGAGCGGGGGACCGAGAGAGCCGCCCUCAAACUUUGCCUCGACGCAAAUCUCUCGUUUCGCCCCGGCUGGAACGACGGGGCUGCGGCGCACGGACGGAAAAGACGCGGCACGCAGUUUGCAUCGUCGCGCCUGGAAUGACAGCGCGCCUUCUCCUACAUUGUUGGAAAAAAGAAAGAGUCGGCGUGGAGGAUGCUCGGCUCUCUGGAGCACGGAGGAGACAAGGAGACAGGUCACCGCUGGCGGGGGGUCCUCAUCGUCGCGUCUCGGGAGGCGCGGAGGGCGCCCGGCGUGAAAGCUGCCACUCACGCUCAGGUGUGGGCUAAACAAGGUCUGGUUCUCUUCACUGCACAAACUGUGCAAACCAGUCAGUGCGGUCACAGAGGUACACGUGUGAAUCCGAGAGGUGAGUGUUUAUUCAUGCAUUCAUCCAUUAUUCUAACAGCUUUUCUUCAUAUUAAUCCGUCGGACAGGAAGUAGGUGUGCACCAU